CUCACCGAUGGUGCAACUAUGCUUAGUUUGAGACUUACAAGGGCUUUGCCAGGUGGACAAAGAAUGUAUCCAUUCCAAGAAACUGCAGGCAUGAGCUUGAAAGCCUAGCACAUUUCCUGAACCAAAAGAACUUCAGCUUGGUCAGAGGUGGUAGGGACAGGAAAGUGGUAGAAUUCAGUAGGAGCCAAAUCUCGGAGAGUUUGUCCUUCACGUGCUAGAUCCUAUAGGUUGAGGUUUCCUAAAGUGUAUUCCACAGAGCAGUUUCCCUGAUAUGUGAGGUCCAUUGGGGCAUGAAAAUCCCAUGCUCAGAUAAGUUUGGAGGAAACUGGGUUCAAUAAAAAGCCAGUUUCUUUACUGCAGGACUGCUCAGAGCCUUUAAUACACAAAACCUAGUUGGAUCUUCAAAGGGAAUGAUGACUCAGAUUUCAGGCCUGAGCAAUUAUUAUAUCGAAGAUUAUGCCUUUACCCAGGAGGGAUUUAGCCAAGAAUGGUUUGCAGGCUCUUCUUCACACCUCUAGCACUGUCACAGGUUACUCUCUGAUCCCUCUUAAACACCAGGCCCACCUACCCCAUCAUUCGCCCAGGCCCCUCCACCCAUCCUCAUCUCCCUUGGCUUGGGGUAGAACAGGGCUUGAACCUUAACACCACUUUCAAAGCCUACCGAUCCCUUGAGAAGUUGGCUGUGAUUGGGAGGAACCAAGGCCCUGGAGACCACAAGGGCUUUCCUCCAACCUCAGCCUCUUCACUCCUCCCAAGUGCCUUCUUCAAAGGCUGGCUAGAAGCCAUUAGCAGGAAAUAGCAGCACCACUUAGAAUUUGAAGGGAAUAGAGGCCCUUGCCUGGGGAAUAAAGAUUUGAGUAUAAAACAUCCCCAGAGGGUGCAAAUUGUAUUCUCACUUUGGGAGAGAUAGAUUGCUCCCGAAUGAAUAAUGGCAUCUCUGGUUUUCAGUUAAUUUCCCUUUAUGACUUCCACAGUCUCUAGCACUUAGUACCAUUGGCACUUAAAGAGCCAAGUCUUUUUUUGCUGGGUGGUUGAGUUUUGUGGGCUGAGUUCUGAGAGAGGUGGAUUUGGACAGGUCAGGAAUCUUACCAGAGUUGCUUCUUCACAGCAAAACUACAGAGUUACCGGUUUCUCAUGGGUAGACCUAGAGUCUGCUGCUUGUUAAUAUCUGAAAAGUGCAUGAAUGGGAAACCGAUGUGAGAGAGACAUCUGAACAAUUUGGGGCUGCAGGCACUUGAGCCUUAGGGAAAGGCCAUCAAGCCAUUUGAGUUAAGACGGAAUUGCCCCUUCUAGGAGACUUCAGGGCUGGAUAACUGUGUCUCAGAACAAAAGGAGGGGCCAGACUUAAAGCCCCUAUUCCUGUGGGAUCAAAUAAAGCCAAGACAGCUCUGAGCCUGCCCUCUGCCCUCUGGUCAAUUGUCUCUGUACUCUAGACCCAUAAUGAUCCUUCAAAAAAGCCCUGAUAGGCACCACCCCCUCUGCAUCAAGCCCUGAGCCAUCCCCAACUCUUCUUUCUUUUAGGCUUCAACUUUUCAUCACUUGGUUCUGAUACCCACCUAGACCCUUAGAUUGUUCUUUAACUUAUAUCCUCCAAAUCAGUAGUUCUCAACUCAGCAAUUUUGCCUCCCAAGGGACAUUUGGCAAUGUCUGGAGACGUGUGUGUGUGUGUGUGUGUGUGUCUGUUUUUGUUUUUUAAUUUUAGAUAGAGCUAGCUGGGGAAAGGGGCAUAGGGAGAGUGAGAGAGACAGGUUUCAUGCUCAGCCCAGGUCCCAACACAGGGCUCGAUCCCAUGACCCUGAGAUCAUGACCUGAGCCAAAGUCAAGAGACAGGCUCAACCCACUGAGCCAUCCAGGCGCUCUUGUCUGGAGACUUUUGAUUGUCGCAACUGGAGGGAUGCCAUGCACAUCCAGUGGGUAGAGGCCAGAAAUGUUCAAAGAAUUAGUUGCUCCAAAAUAUCAGUGAUGCUCUUGAGAAACCCUACUCUAGAGCAGUGAUGUUCCAAGUGUGCUCUUGGGGACAGCAGCAGCAGCAGCACCUGAAAACAUGCUAGAGACCCACCUGAGACCUACUGAAUCGGAAACCUAGGGAGAAGGAAGUCUUCAGCAAUCUGUUUUCACAAGCCCUGCAAGUGAUUCUGAUGCAAGCUUGGAGAGCCACUGCUCCACAGGCUCAGAGAGUUCUAAUCUUUCCUAGGAGAGCCACAGAGCCUUCUGUUCACUCAUUCAUAGUUACCCCUAACUACGUAGCUGUUCUUUCUGGCUCAGUUUCGUACAUGCAUUAUCUCACUUGAUUGUCACGUACUAAGCAACAGGUUCAUAGAGAAGUAACACGCAAGCUUAACCAGUAAGUGGCAAAGCCAGGAUGUAAACCUAGCUGGAGCUCUUAACCCCAUCACCACAAUGCAGCCUUAGUGGCUUUUAACCUUGAAUGCACAUUAGAAUCAGCUGGGGAGCCUUUAAAAAUCCAGAGGCUUAGAUCACACUACCCCAGGCCAAUUAAAUCAGAAUCUCCGGGGUGAACAGGAGUAUUCUUUUAAAGCUUCGUUCGGUGAUUGCAAUAUGAAAUCAAGGUUAAGGACAUGGCUGCAGCUAUAGCCAGGAGGGCAGCACAAAGCCAAAUUGACUUCCCCUGCCACCCCUUGGCUCUCCAGGAAACUGCUCUGGCUCAUGGUCUGCGUGAGCUUGCGCCCACUUCUCCCAAGCCUAUGGUUGAGCUAAAACUUUGGACCUUGGCCAGAGAAUAGAGAUUGAUCUACUGUGAUCAUCUCUGCCUGAUGACUCCGGGGCUUUAUUUUGAAAAAAAAGACCUGUGGCUUUCCUUUGGAGUUCCAGGUAUAGCUUCAGAAGGUGCUAGAGCUAGAAAGAGCCUCCCAGCUACUCAGGUCAGUCAUCUAGUCCAACCUCAUUUUACAGAAGGGGAAACUGAGGGGAGAUACAGCUUACGUGCCUAUUAUUAAGUUAGGGGUUCUGCUCACUCGGGAAGCAUUUAUUUAACAUCCCUCUGUGAUGAGUCCUGUGCUGGCCUCUGAGAAUACAGAAAUGACUGAGUCAUAUAUUCUUUGGGAGUUCCCAGGGCAGAGGGUGAGGACAAAAACAAAAGUCAGGGCCUCUCAAACUUUUCCCCUUAAGUGUCCUUAAUGGCAUGGGGCGCCUGAUACAUGAUACAUGAUACAUGGCAUCUGGUAAGUGUCCGACUUCAGCUUAGGGCAUGAUCUCAUGGUUUGUGGGUUCAAGCCCUGCAGUUGUUAGCUCAGAGCCUGGAGCCUGCUUCAGAUUCUGUGUAUCCCUCUGUCUCUGCCCCUCCCUUACUUGUGCUGUCUCUCUCUCUCUCUCUCUCAAAAA
Neofelis nebulosa (Clouded leopard) is the source of this 3342-nucleotide long non-coding RNA. RefSeq lists it as uncharacterized. The transcript has 2 exons. NCBI's taxonomy places the organism in Eukaryota, Metazoa, Chordata, Mammalia, Carnivora, Felidae. The record is from RefSeq and is a predicted model, not a curated record.